UAUGGGGCCUAUGGCUAAAUGACUUUGU
Molecule: non-coding RNA, 28 nt
Filed under: Homo sapiens (human)
Lineage: Eukaryota; Metazoa; Chordata; Mammalia; Primates; Hominidae
Source: RNAcentral